ACAGCUAGUCUGCUUUUUGCCCUCUAACGGAGUAACACCGGCUUUACUCCUCCGGCACACAGCCGACCCAGGGGAGAAACAAAAGGCACAGAACAGCCGGGGUGCAGGGCUGGUCCCUCCCGCUGCUCCCAGCCGGCGGCGGCGCUGGGCAGGACCGGUCCCCAUGGGGCAGCUGGAGGGGGGUUCCCGGCGCUGUCGCCCCCCGAGCAUCGCCCGAAGGUGGCCCCUUCCUCCGGAGCCCACCCCGGCACCCGCCGCCUCCCCUCUGCCUCCCUCCAGUGGGGAAAUCCCGGCUGGAUGGAUGGGGAGAAGCCUCCCCGCUCCGGAGUGCCGGGGGGAUGCUGCGAGCAGCGCCGGGGCCGCCCCUGCUUCUAAACCACAGAAAUAAUUUUUUCAAAAACCCCAACAACUCAACAGCCAAGUGAGGAGUCAGGAGGCUGGCAGGCUCCCACCGCGCCUUCUGCAGCAACGGGGAGCGGGGAUUUGCAGUCCCAUCUCUGCACCAUUUCUCUGGAGCACACAAGAUAGGAUAUGAUGCUUCCCUCCAGCCACACCAAGCUUGGUCACAAGUUGCAAGGAGGAGAAAUGGAGGAGAGCUCUGCAGUGGCUGGGUUUGCUCAGAAAGGCUCUUUUCUGUAAAGCAAGGCAGAAGAGGAGUGUGUUUGCCCCAGAGAUGUUUCAGGGAGGCAUGACACAGUGACAGGGGUGUAGCAUGGAGAAGUGCAGAGCAUGGAGAAGAUCUGCAAGUCUCUGCCAGCACACGGCUGAGCCAAGAGCAGAGAACAAGACCAAAUCCACCUGAAACAGCAAGCAUGGAGCCUAUUUCUCCUUUUUAUAUCAUUGUUACACUCACUUAAUUCCUUUAGAUGCUCUCAACUUCCCUGAUGCACCCCAAGGAGCGUGGAGGUAACAAGUGCUCUCUGAUAAUGCCAUCGGAAUUACGGCAGGGUCCAGCCCAGUGUGCUGGAUCUGAUCCCCUCAUGCUGUAGUGUUUCACUAGCAAGUGUCAUUUAGAUGGUUUUGGGAAAGAAUCCAGGAUUUGUUUCACAGACAAAUUCCUCAACAGCUCAGUGAAUAUAGAAUAGUUUUAACUAACCAUGCAAAUCUUGCUUGUAAUCUUAUGUAGGGAAACUAUAUCUAUUCUAGAGACUGGGCCAGGGCUUUCAACUGCUGAUGGGGGAUAGUUAUGCAGACUUCAAAGGAGCUGUAUCAGCUUUUACCAAGUGGGGAUCCAGACCUUUAUUCAUAUUUUUAAAUUCAGAAACUGUGCCUAGGUAAAGCAUUUUUCUCUAUAUUUUUAAGUAGCCAGUUUUUUAUUUUAUAGCUGUUCCCUCAGUGGCAGGAUUGUUUCUCAGUAGUCAAUGUUUAAAGGCCCUUCAAGGCUGAAGGAAUUAAAAAUGAAUAAUUUAAAGCUGGUCUAUGAGGCAUAAUUUUUAACAUAUGUUUUACAGGCCAUGUGGAACACUUUUUUGACUUGUCAGUAGAUAUUUUACAAACAUGCUGUGCUGGAACCAAAACCUUUUUUAUUUAAGAGUUAGAUUUGAGUCCUCCUAUGCUUCAACACAGCAGCAUGCUGUGUCUACAAGCCAUAACAAGGAAACCAUUAUCACCAGCACUGAUCAGAAAAGGGGAGAAAUGAAGCAAUUGCAGAACUUUUUUCCUCUUACACACACUGCUAAAACAGAACUAUGGCUCUCCCAUCUUAAGAAGCCUCAUCCCAAGGCAGAGGUAGAGGAGCUGUGAUUUAUUUGCUCUAAGGCUCCAAAAGGGAGCCUUAGAGCAAAUAAAUCCUAGGUGCUCCUUCUCCAGCACCUAGGUGGUGCUGGAGAAGGAGCCAUGAAACAUGUUGUCUUUGGGUUAUUUUUUAAAUGGCUUGAUGGCUGGGGUGUUUUUUUGCCAACCUCCUGUUAACUCCCUAAAUAUUGUGCUAGGAAUGCCAUCUGAGUAACUCUUGACAGUUUGAAUAGGCAAAGCUAAUUGCUGGUGAAUAACCACCUUUUAUGAAUUUCAUUUCUUGUCCCUUCCUGACUGCUUGCAGCAAGAAAGGGAGGAGGCAUCUACCUUGCAGAUGUUCAAAGACAGCCUGGCUUUCAACCUUAUUGACUGGUUCCCACAUUCUUCCUUGUUUUCCUGGAUUGUCCAGCUUUUCAUUUCUAUUUUAAAGUUACUCCAUAUUUGUAGCUAAAAAUAAAUUGGUUUGGUUAUUUCAAAA
Haemorhous mexicanus (house finch) is the source of this 2212-nucleotide long non-coding RNA. RefSeq lists it as uncharacterized. Lineage: Eukaryota; Metazoa; Chordata; Aves; Passeriformes; Fringillidae. The transcript is spliced from 2 exons. The record is from RefSeq and is a predicted model, not a curated record.